RNAcentral lists this ribosomal RNA (468 nucleotides) under uncultured bacterium. RNAcentral describes it as "partial 16S ribosomal RNA". It matches the Rfam family "Bacterial small subunit ribosomal RNA", at positions 28 to 507 of the family's 1533-position model. The record is from RNAcentral.
GACGAACGCUGGCGGCGUGCUUAACACAUGCAAGUCGAACGGAAAGGCCCUGCUUUUGUGGGGUGCUCGAGUGGCGAACGGGCGAGUAACACGUGAGUAACCUGCCCUUGACUUUGGGAUAACUUCAGGAAACUGGGGCUAAUACCGGAUAGGAGCUCCUGCUGCAUGGUGGGGGUUGGAAAGUUUCGGCGGUUGGGGAUGGACUCGCGGCUUAUCAGCUUGUUGGUGGGGUAGUGGCUUACCAAGGCUUUGACGGGUAGCCGGCCUGAGAGGGUGACCGGCCAAAUUGGGACUGAGAUACGGCCCAGACUCCUACGGGAGGCAGCAGUGGGGAAUAUUGCACAAUGGGCGGAAGCCUGAUGCAGCAACGCCGCGUGCGGGAUGACGGCCUUCGGGUUGUAAACCGCUUUCGCCUGUGACGAAGCGUGAGUGACGGUAAUGGGUAAAGAAGCACCGGCUAACUACGUG